This 471-nucleotide ribosomal RNA is filed under the name Triticum aestivum (bread wheat). Its description in RNAcentral is "partial small subunit ribosomal RNA". Lineage: Eukaryota; Viridiplantae; Streptophyta; Magnoliopsida; Poales; Poaceae. The record is from RNAcentral.
AUGGUGGAUGAGGUCAGACAAGCCUUUGUACUGGGACCGAAUAAGGUUUUUAAGUUCAAUGAGAGUGAUGUUGAGAAGGUAUUCGGAAUCCCGGCAGCUGGAACAGAUAUCAUGGACAAAACUCUUGAUAGGAGUGACACUGUAUAUGCAUACUUGCGUGGUCGUUUGGGGAUAGAGAACAAGGAGGUAAGAAGUCUGAAGAGCAUACAGUCCAUACUGUCACGUGACUACAAGGGGAAGAUGUCACAAACAGAGGUGGUUGCAUUCAAAACUGCGUACAUCGUAUUCAUGAUGACACAUGUAUUUGCACCGACAGUCAAGAAUGACUACUUCUACACUGAUUAUUGGCCAGCAUUGGUCGACCCGGAUAGCUUGGAUAAGUUCAAUUGGGGAAGAUAUAUUGUUGAAGUACUGUGCGCAGCCGCCGUUAAGAUGAAACAAGAUAUUAGCAGGAAAGCCACGGUGUCGAAC